RNAcentral lists this ribosomal RNA (1296 nucleotides) under Platambus maculatus. Its description in RNAcentral is "16S ribosomal RNA". Lineage: Eukaryota; Metazoa; Arthropoda; Insecta; Coleoptera; Dytiscidae. The record is from RNAcentral.
AUUAUUUAUUUAUUAUUUAUGUUAAUAAAAAUAAUUUUAUUAAUAAUUUUUUUUAGUAUUUUUUAAAGAAAAAAAAAUAUUAAUUAUAGAGAAUAAGUAUUGAGAUAGAAUUAUUGAAAUAAAUUUUUAAUUUUUAAAAAGUAAAAUUAAUUUUUUGUACCUUGUGUAUCAGGGUUUAUUAAAUAAUUAUUAUAAAAUUAAUUUUCCCGAUUUUAAGAGAGAUAAUUUAAUAAUUUUUUUAUUGUGAUAAAAAUAUUUAUAAUAUUAAAUUAGAAAUGAAAUGUUAUUCGUUCUUAAAAAUAUCUGGUUUAUUUAGAAAUAAAUUUAAUUUAAUUAGUUUUAUUUUAAUAAUUUAUUUAUUUAAAUUAUUAUAUUUUAUUAGUAAUAAUUAAAGGGAUUAGCUUUUAAUUAAAAUUCUAUAAUUCAUUAAAAAAUUCAAAAUAUGUAAGUUUAGAAAUAUUUAUCAUUAGUAGUUUGUUAUAAUUAAUUUUUUAGAUUAAUAUUAUUUAAUAAGUUUUUAKAUUUUUUAUAAAUAAAUAAUUUUUAUUUUUAAAAAAUUAKUUAUUAUGAUAAAAUUAGUAUAUAUAUAUGUUUAAAUAAUUUUAUUAUAAAAGAUUAUUUAAAGGAAUUCGGCAAAAAUUUUACUCGCCUGUUUAACAAAAACAUGUCCUUUUGAUCUUAAUUUAAGGUUUAACCUGCCCACUGAUUUAUUAAAGGGCCGCAGUAAUUUGACUGUGCAAAGGUAGCAUAAUCAUUAGUUUUUUAAUUAAAAGCUUGUAUGAAAGGUUGGACGAAGUAAAUUCUGUCUCUAUUUAAUUUAAUUUAGAAUUUAAUUUUUAAGUUAAAAAGCUUAAAUUUUUUUAAAAGACGAGAAGACCCUAUAGAUUUUUAUAUUAAAUUUAAUUAAUUUAAUUUAGAAUUAUUAAUUUUUUAUUAAAUUUAUUAUUUUAUUGGGGUAAUAGAGAGAUUAAUUUAAUUCUUUUUUAAUAUUUACAUUAAUUUAUGUUUAAAUGAUCCAAUUUUAUUGAUUAUAAGAUUAAAUUACCUUAGGGAUAACAGCGUAAUUUUUUUAAAGAGUUCAUAUCGAUAAAAAAGUUUGCGACCUCGAUGUUGGAUUAAAAAUUAUCUUAGGUGCAGAAUUUUAAGAUUAUGGUCUGUUCGACCAUUGAAUUUUUACAUGAUCUGAGUUCAGACCGGUGUAAGCCAGGUCGGUUUCUAUCUUUAAUAAAUUUAAAUAUUUUAGUACGAAAGGACCAAAUAUUUAAUAUAGUAUAUUAUUAAUUUUGAAUAUUAUUA